Gossypium arboreum is the source of this 145-nucleotide non-coding RNA. Lineage: Eukaryota; Viridiplantae; Streptophyta; Magnoliopsida; Malvales; Malvaceae. The record is from Rfam.
AACUAGUCUUUUAUGUAUUUUUACUGUUAAAAGCUGUCAUGGCUGACGAAAUAACCAGAUAUGUACACCUGGUGUGUCUUGUGUAUCUCAAGCUGACAUACAUGAGCCCAGUUUUUAACAGUAAAAAUAGAUGAAAUUUUUAAUA